RNAcentral lists this ribosomal RNA (498 nucleotides) under uncultured bacterium. Its description in RNAcentral is "partial 16S ribosomal RNA". It matches the Rfam family "Bacterial small subunit ribosomal RNA", at positions 30 to 523 of the family's 1533-position model. The record is from RNAcentral.
AUUGAACGCUGGCGGCAUGCCUUACACAUGCAAGUCGAACGGUAACAGGUCUUCGGAUGCUGACGAGUGGCGAACGGGUGAGUAAUACAUCGGAACGUGCCUAGUGGUGGGGGAUAACUACUCGAAAGAGUGGCUAAUACCGCACGAGAUCUACGGAUGAAAGCAGGGGAUCGCAAGACCUUGUGCUACUAGAGCGGCCGAUGGCAGAUUAGGUAGUUGGUGGGAUAAAAGCUUACCAAGCCGACGAUCUGUAGCUGGUCUGAGAGGACGAUCAGCCACACUGGGACUGAGACACGGCCCAGACUCCUACGGGAGGCAGCAGUGGGGAAUUUUGGACAAUGGGCGCAAGCCUGAUCCAGCAAUACCGCGUGCAGGAUGAAGGCCUUCGGGUUGUAAACUGCUUUUGUACGGAACGAAAAGCCCCGGGUUAAUACCCUGGGGUCAUGACGGUACCGUAAGAAUAAGCACCGGCUAACUACGUGCCAGCCGCCGCCGUAA